Molecule: ribosomal RNA, 429 nt
Filed under: Bacteroidota bacterium
Lineage: Bacteria; Pseudomonadati; Bacteroidota
Description: Bacteroidetes bacterium partial 16S ribosomal RNA
Rfam family: Bacterial small subunit ribosomal RNA
Source: RNAcentral
UAGGGAAUCUUCCGCAAUGGCCGCAAGUCUGCCGGAGCAACGCCGCGUGAGUGAAGAAGGAUUUCGGUUCGUAAAACUCUGUUGUUAGAGAAGAACAGCGCAUAGAGUAACUGUUAUGCGUGUGACGGUAUCUAACCAGAAAGCCACGGCUAACUACGUGCCAGCAGCCGCGGUAAUACGUAGGUGGCAAGCGUUGUCCGGAUUUAUUGGGCGUAAAGCGAGCGCAGGCGGUCAAUUAAGUCUGAUGUGAAAGCCCCCGGCUCAACCGGGGAGGGUCAUUGGAAACUGGUUGACUUGAGUGCAGAAGAGGAGAGUGGAAUUCCAGGUGUAGCGGUGAAAUGCGUAGAUAUAUGGAGGAACACCAGUGGCGAAGGCGACUCUCUGGUCUGUAACUGACGCGGAGGCUCGAAAGCGUGGGUAGCAAACAGG